GCCGCCGUAGCUCAGUGGUGGAGCGAUCGCCUCGUAAGCGAUAGGUCGUGGGUUCGACCCCCACCGGCGGCUCCA
Molecule: transfer RNA, 75 nt
Filed under: Hadesarchaea archaeon B3_Hades
Lineage: Archaea; Methanobacteriati; Hadarchaeota (SeqCode); Hadarchaeia (SeqCode)
Also listed under: 2 other names
Description: tRNA-Thr
Rfam family: tRNA
About the family: Transfer RNA (tRNA) molecules are approximately 80 nucleotides in length.
Source: RNAcentral